GGAAAAGAUACCGGAGCGUCGAGUGGACAAGCCGAUGGCGACUUACGUUUGACGGGCGCGCUUUGAAGUUUCAGGUAUUACAAGUAUGUGGACGACGAUCAAGUUGAUGCUCCAAGAACCGAACACGAAACUUUUGAACGCUUCCGCACUAAAUGAAUCUAGUUAAAUUAUGUAGUUUUGUAAACACUACUAAAUGAUUUAUGUUUGAAACUAGUUAUUUGACUAUGUUAAACACUAUGAUGAAGUAUAACUUAGUCUACUAACUAAGUUUUUGUUA
Helianthus annuus (common sunflower) is the source of this 277-nucleotide long non-coding RNA. RefSeq lists it as uncharacterized. The record is from RefSeq and is a predicted model, not a curated record. The transcript is spliced from 2 exons. Lineage: Eukaryota; Viridiplantae; Streptophyta; Magnoliopsida; Asterales; Asteraceae.